RNAcentral lists this long non-coding RNA (240 nucleotides) under Rhinopithecus bieti (black snub-nosed monkey). Its description in RNAcentral is "lncRNA (ENSRBIG00000046757.1)". Lineage: Eukaryota; Metazoa; Chordata; Mammalia; Primates; Cercopithecidae. The record is from RNAcentral.
GAAUCUGGAAAAACACGUGAAUCAAAAUAAAACUUGAUUCACCUUUCCAGGUCAGAGUUACAAGUGUCAAAACUCUCAGGUGGGAUCUGCCCGUGACGUUCUGACCGCGUGCCUCUCUGCAAGGAAAGUGUCUCCACCAGGUGUGCGAGAGGAAAAGAGGCGGUGUUGAGCCACAUGGAGGACUUGAUGUGAUUCAUGUGUGCUUAGACAGUAAAAUCUGAGAGAAAAUUUGAAUUCUGA